AGUCGAACGGAAAGGCCCCUUCGGGGGUACUCGAGUGGCGAACGGGUGAGUAACACGUGGGUAAUCUGCCCUGCACUUCGGGAUAAGCCUGGGAAACUGGGUCUAAUACCGGAUAGGACCCCGAGGCGCAUGCCUUGGGGUGGAAAGCUUUUGCGGUGUGGGAUGGGCCCGCGGCCUAUCAGCUUGUUGGUGGGGUGACGGCCUACCAAGGCGACGACGGGUAGCCGGCCUGAGAGGGUGUCCGGCCACACUGGGACUGAGAUACGGCCCAGACUCCUACGGGAGGCAGCAGUGGGGAAUAUUGCACAAUGGGCGCAAGCCUGAUGCAGCGACGCCGCGUGGGGGAUGACGGCCUUCGGGUUGUAAACCUCUUUCACCAUCGACGAAGGUCCGGGUUUUCUCGGAUUGACGGUAGGUGGAGAAGAAGCACCGGCCAACUACGUGCCAGCAGCCGCGGUAAUACGUAGGGUGCGAGCGUUGUCCGGAAUUACUGGGCGUAAAGAGCUCGUAGGUGGUUUGUCGCGUUGUUCGUGAAAUCUCACGGCUUAACUGUGAGCGUGCGGGCGAUACGGGCAGACUGGAGUACUGCAGGGGAGACUGGAAUUCCUGGUGUAGCGGUGGAAUGCGCAGAUAUCAGGAGGAACACCGGUGGCGAAGGCGGGUCUCUGGGCAGUAACUGACGCUGAGGAGCGAAAGCGUGGGGAGCGAACAGGAUUAGAUACCCUGGUAGUCCACGCCGUAAACGGUGGGUACUAGGUGUGGGUUUCCUUCCUUGGGAUCCGUGCCGUAGCUAACGCAUUAAGUACCCCGCCUGGGG
RNAcentral lists this ribosomal RNA (817 nucleotides) under Mycobacterium angelicum. RNAcentral describes it as "bacterial SSU rRNA". It matches the Rfam family "Bacterial small subunit ribosomal RNA", at positions 60 to 878 of the family's 1533-position model. Lineage: Bacteria; Bacillati; Actinomycetota; Actinomycetes; Mycobacteriales; Mycobacteriaceae. The record is from RNAcentral.